This 213-nucleotide long non-coding RNA is filed under the name Vigna radiata. RNAcentral's name for it is "long non-coding RNA (VRAD_LNC012974)". The record is from RNAcentral. Lineage: Eukaryota; Viridiplantae; Streptophyta; Magnoliopsida; Fabales; Fabaceae.
CGACAUCUAUUAGAAUCCCAAAUAGUGUGCUGAAGGAAUGGGGAACGAACACCUAUAUCCAUUUAAGGUAUUUAUGAGACCCGUUUAAGUGUUCUACGGAUACCAAUAUCCGUUUAAAUAAAAUACAACCCAAAUUAAAUAUUUUAUAAGGCUAAAAGAGGAACGAGUAGGUGUAGGGAACAAGACGCGGUGGUGGAAGGAGUAACGCCCCCG